RNAcentral lists this ribosomal RNA (296 nucleotides) under uncultured bacterium. RNAcentral describes it as "partial 16S ribosomal RNA". It matches the Rfam family "Bacterial small subunit ribosomal RNA", at positions 28 to 325 of the family's 1533-position model. The record is from RNAcentral.
AAUGAACGCUGGCGGCGCGCCUAAUACAUGCAAGUCGAGCGGUAAGGCCCUUUCGGGGGUACACGAGCGGCGAACGGGUGAGUAACACGUGGGUGACCUGCCCUCAGCUCUGGGAUAAGCCUGGGAAACCGGGUCUAAUACCGGAUAUGACUCCAUGACGCAUGUUGUGGGGUGGAAAGCCUUGUGCGGCUGAGGAUGGGCCCGCGGCCUAUCAGCUUGUUGGUGGGGUGAUGGCCUACCAAGGCGACGACGGGUAGCCGGCCUGAGAGGGCAACCGGCCACACUGGGACUGAGAC